GCUUCAAGCAGCGGGCAGUCGGACACUUCAAGAAACCUCUGUUCACGUACGGAAGUGAUCCAUACAAUCUGAAGGUGGAGCUCAAUAAGGGGAAACAGGUUACACCAGUCUUCACCUAUGAGGACAUACAGAGUGUGGUGGAGGAUGAGCUGGAGGGAAACGGCUAUUACAGCAGGU
Molecule: long non-coding RNA, 177 nt
Organism: Sinocyclocheilus grahami
Lineage: Eukaryota; Metazoa; Chordata; Actinopteri; Cypriniformes; Cyprinidae
Exons: 3
Source: RefSeq, a predicted model, not a curated record